This 482-nucleotide ribosomal RNA is filed under the name Aerococcus viridans. RNAcentral's name for it is "bacterial SSU rRNA". It matches the Rfam family "Bacterial small subunit ribosomal RNA", at positions 9 to 474 of the family's 1533-position model. The record is from RNAcentral. Lineage: Bacteria; Bacillati; Bacillota; Bacilli; Lactobacillales; Aerococcaceae.
GAGUUUGAUUAUGGCUCAGGACGAACGCUGGCGGCAUGCCUAAUACAUGCAAGUCGAGCGAACAGAUGAAGUGCUUGCACUUCUGACGUUAGCGGCGAACGGGUGAGUAACACGUAAGGAAUCUACCUAUAAGCGGGGGAUAACAUUCGGAAACGGGUGCUGAUACCGCAUAAUAUCUUCUUCCGCAUGGAAGAAGAUUGAAAGACGGCUCUGCUGUCACUUAUAGAUGACCUUGCGGUGCAUUAGUUAGUUGGUGGGGUAACGGCCUACCAAGACGAUGAUGCAUAGCCGACCUGAGAGGGUGAUCGGCCACAUUGGGACUGAGACACGGCCCAAACUCCUACGGGAGGCAGCAGUAGGGAAUCUUCCGCAAUGGGCGAAAGCCUGACGGAGCAAUGCCGCGUGAGUGAAGAAGGCCUUCGGGUCGUAAAACUCUGUUAUAAGAGAAGAACAAAUUGUAGAGUAACUGCUACAGUCUGACG